AGUGAACGCUGGCGGUAGGCCUAACACAUGCAAGUCGAACGGCAGCACAGUAAGAGCUUGCUCUUCCGGGUGGCGAGUGGCGGGAGGGAGAGGAAUAUAACGGAAUCUACUCUUUCGUGGGGCGUCACGUAGGGAGAGCUAAGCUCAUACCGCAUCCGACCUACGGGUGAAGGCGGGGGAUCUUUGGGCCUUGUGGGAAUGAACUCGCCGAUGAUGUGUUAGCUGGUUGGCGGGGUAAAGGCCAACCAAGGCGACGGUCCGUAGCUGGUCCGGGAGGCUGGUCAGCCACACUGGAACGUAGACACGGUCCAGACUCCUACGGGAGGCAGCAGUGGGGAAUAUUGGACAAUGGGCGCAAGCCUUAUCCAGCCAUACCGCGUGGGUGAAGAAGGCCUUCGGGUUGUAAAGCCCUUUUGUUGGGAAAGAAAAGCAGCAGCUUAAUACCCCGCUGUUCUGACGGUACCCAAAGAAUAAGCACCGGCUAACUUCGUG
RNAcentral lists this ribosomal RNA (492 nucleotides) under uncultured bacterium. Its description in RNAcentral is "partial 16S ribosomal RNA". It matches the Rfam family "Bacterial small subunit ribosomal RNA", at positions 29 to 507 of the family's 1533-position model. The record is from RNAcentral.